CAAGGAGCGGGUAUCAGGCGCUUCCCCCGAAUGCCCAUGACACCUUGCUUAGCCACGCCCCCACGGGACCUCAGCAGUGACAAACAUUAAGCCAUAUGCGAAAGCUUGACUUAGUUAUAGCUAAGAGGGCCGGUAAAACUCGUGCCAGCCACCGCGGUUAUACGAGGGGCCCAAGUUGAUAAGCUACCGGCGUCGAGCGUGGUUAGGACGAAAAUUACACUAGAGCCAAACACCUUCAAGGCUGUUAUACGCAACCGAAGACAGGAAGUACAACCACGAAAGUGGCUUUAUCUGGUUUUAACCCACGAAAGCUAGGGGACAAACGGGGAUUAGACACCCUCCUAUGCCUAGCCAUAAACAUUGAUGGCCCAAAACAUACGUCAUCCGCCCGGGGACUACGAGCAACAGCUUAAAACCCGAAGGACUUGGCGGUGCUUUAGACCCACCUAGAGGAGCCUGUUCUGGAACCGAUAACCCCCGUUCAACCUCACCCUUCCUUGUUCAUCCA
This 508-nucleotide ribosomal RNA is filed under the name Pseudoblennius marmoratus. RNAcentral's name for it is "partial 12S rRNA". It matches the Rfam family "Bacterial small subunit ribosomal RNA", at positions 81 to 991 of the family's 1533-position model. The record is from RNAcentral. Lineage: Eukaryota; Metazoa; Chordata; Actinopteri; Perciformes; Cottidae.